Non-coding RNA from Pelobates cultripes (western spadefoot toad), 80 nucleotides. The record is from the annotation of a GenBank genome assembly. Lineage: Eukaryota; Metazoa; Chordata; Amphibia; Anura; Pelobatidae.
UGUUUGUGUGUGUGUGUGUGUGUAUGUAUAUAUAUAUAUAUAUAUAUAUACACAUACAUACAUACCCACACACAAACACU